RNAcentral lists this ribosomal RNA (459 nucleotides) under uncultured bacterium. RNAcentral describes it as "partial 16S ribosomal RNA". It matches the Rfam family "Bacterial small subunit ribosomal RNA", at positions 338 to 795 of the family's 1533-position model. The record is from RNAcentral.
CCUACGUGCGGCAGCAGUGAGGAAUAUUGGUCAAUGGGCGAGAGCCUGAACCAGCCAAGUCGCGUGAGGGAAGACGGUCCUAUGGAUUGUAAACCUCUUUUGCCGGGGAGCAAAAAGCGGUACGUGUACCGCAUCGAGAGUACCCGGAGAAAAAGCAUCGGCUAACUCCGUGCCAGCAGCCGCGGUAAUACGGAGGAUGCGAGCGUUAUCCGGAUUUAUUGGGUUUAAAGGGUGCGCAGGCGGCGAGUUAAGUCAGCGGUAAAAUUUCGGGGCUCAACCCCGACAAGCCGUUGAAACUGGCAGUCGGGAGUUGGAGAGAAGUAUGCGGAAUGCGCGGUGUAGCGGUGAAAUGCAUAGAUAUCGCGCAGAACUCCGAUUGCGAAGGCAGCAUGCCGGCUCCACACUGACGCUGAGGCACGAAAGCGUGGGUAUCGAACAGGAUUAGAUACCCGGGUAGUC